RNAcentral lists this ribosomal RNA (111 nucleotides) under Crocodylus porosus (Australian saltwater crocodile). Lineage: Eukaryota; Metazoa; Chordata; Crocodylia; Crocodylidae. The record is from RNAcentral.
CCUGCAGCCACACCAUCUUGAGCUGUGAUCUUGUCAGAUCUCACAAAGAAAGCAGGAUGCAGUCAAUUCUUGGAUGGAAGACCUCCAAGAAUAACAUGGGAGCUGGCAGGA